UAAUGUACAAACAUGUAAGUGUACAGUAUGUGAGUAGGCCAUAUUAUAUUUGAAGUACACUGUAAGUACGUCUGUGUACACGGUAACUGCGUCUGUAAGUGCGUCUGUAAUCAAGUAUACACUGUAAGAAAGUCUGUAAGUACGUCUGUAAGUGCGUCUGUAAGUACACUGUAAUACACGGUAACUGCGUCUGUAAGUACACUGUAAGAAAGUCUGUAAGCACGUCUGUAAGUACACGGUAACUGCGUCUGUAAGUGCGUCUGUAAUCAAGUAUACACUGUAAGAAAGUCUGUAAGUGCGUCUGUAAGUACACUGUAACUGCGUCUGUAAGUGCGUCUGUAAUCAAGUAUACACUGUAAGUGCGUCUGUAAGUGCGUCUGUAAGUACGUCUGUAAGUGCGUCUGUAAGUACACUGUAAGUACUGUAAGUGCGUCUGUAAGUACGUCUGUAAGUGCGUCUGUAAGUACACUGUAAGUACUGUAAGUGCGUCUGUAAGUACGUCGGUAAGUGCGUCUGUAAGUACACUGUAAGUACGUCUGUAAGUACACUGUAAGUACACUGUAAGCACGUCUGUAAGCGCGUCUGAAAGUGCGUCUGUAAGUGCGUCUGUAAGUACACUGUAUACACGUCUGUAAGUACACUGUAAGUGCAUCUGUAAGUACACUGUAAGUGCGUCUGUAAGUGCGUCUGUAAGUGUGUCUGUAAGCGCGGCUGUAAGUACACUGUAAGUACACUGUAAGCACGUCUGUAAGUACGUCUGUAAGUGCGUCUGUAAGUACACUGUAAGUGCAUCUGUAAGUACACUGUAAGUGCGUCUGUAAGUGUGUCUGUAAGCGCGUCUGUAAGUACUGUAAGUGUGUAAGGGCACUAUAAAGACACUCAAUGUGGCUCCUCCAACCUCCAUCCCCAGUGUGUGUCAGGUGGGGAGGUAAGAGGCGGGGCGGGUUCACCGCCAACCAGAGCCCCACGGGGGGCCAAGCUGCCGUUUAAAAGCUAUUAUAAAUGCUAUGCCAUUAGCGACCGCCUCCAGCUAGCGCUCGCAAUGAAUAGGGGAUGCAAGGUGAAAUUCAUCUUCACAGAGUCAAAGGGCUAGUU
Clupea harengus (Atlantic herring) is the source of this 1095-nucleotide long non-coding RNA. NCBI's taxonomy places the organism in Eukaryota, Metazoa, Chordata, Actinopteri, Clupeiformes, Clupeidae. The record is from Ensembl.